CCUACGGGAGGCAGCAGUGGGGAAUCUUGCACAAUGGGGGAAACCCUGAUGCAGCGAUGCCGCGUGAGUGAAGAAGGCCUUUGGGUUGUAAAACUCUUUCGUCGGGGAAGAAAUGACUGUACCCGAAUAAGAAGGUCCGGCUAACUUCGUGCCAGCAGCCGCGGUAAU
This 168-nucleotide ribosomal RNA is filed under the name uncultured marine bacterium. RNAcentral's name for it is "partial 16S ribosomal RNA". It matches the Rfam family "Bacterial small subunit ribosomal RNA", at positions 338 to 524 of the family's 1533-position model. The record is from RNAcentral.